GCAGCAUCAUCAAGAUUCACA
Molecule: microRNA, 21 nt
Filed under: Citrus sinensis (sweet orange)
Lineage: Eukaryota; Viridiplantae; Streptophyta; Magnoliopsida; Sapindales; Rutaceae
Also listed under: 2 other names
Description: csi-miR172b-5p
Gene: csi-miR172b-5p
Source: miRBase by way of RNAcentral